Molecule: long non-coding RNA, 671 nt
Filed under: Gallus gallus (chicken)
Lineage: Eukaryota; Metazoa; Chordata; Aves; Galliformes; Phasianidae
Description: lncRNA (ENSGALG00010000758.1)
Source: RNAcentral
CAAACCAGUACACACCAGUACAAACCAGUGGUGUGGGGCAGCUAUGGGGCAGUUAUAGCACAUCUAUAGGGCAGCUAUGGGGCUGCUAUGGGGCAGCUAUAGGACAUCUAUAGGGCCGCUAUGGGGCAGCUAUAGGACGUCUAUAGGGCAGCUAUGGGGCCGCUAUGGGGCAGCUAUAGGACGUCUAUAGGGCCGCUAUGGGGCAGCUAUGGGGCAGCUAUAGGACGUCUAUAGGGCCGCUAUGGGGCAGCUAUGGGGCUGCUAUGGGGCAGCUAUAGGACGUCUAUAGGGCCGCUAUGGGGCAGCUAUAGGACGUCUAUAGGGCCGCUAUGGGGCAGCUAUGGGGCAUCUGUAGGGCUGCUAUGGGGCCGCUAUGGGGCAGCUAUAGGACGUCUAUAGGGCAGCUAUGGGGCCGCUAUGGGGCAGCUAUAGGACGUCUAUAGGGCCGCUAUGGGGCAGCUAUGGGGCCGCUAUGGGGCAGCUAUAGGACGUCUAUAGGGCCGCUAUGGGGCAGCUAUGGGGCCGCUAUGGGGCAUCUAUAGGGCAGCUAUGGGGCAGCUAUGGGGCCGCUAUGGGGCAGCUAUAGGACGUCUAUAGGGCCACUAUGGGGCCGCUAUGGGGCAGCUAUAGGACGUCUAUAGGGCCGCUAUGGGGCAGCUAUGGGGCAGUUA